RNAcentral lists this ribosomal RNA (483 nucleotides) under uncultured bacterium. RNAcentral describes it as "bacterial SSU rRNA". It matches the Rfam family "Bacterial small subunit ribosomal RNA", at positions 28 to 491 of the family's 1533-position model. The record is from RNAcentral.
GACGAACGCUGGCGGCGUGCCUAAUACAUGCAAGUCGAACGCACUCUCGUUUAGAUUGAAGGAGCUUGCUCCUGAUUGAUAAACAUUUGAGUGAGUGGCGGACGGGUGAGUAACACGUGGGUAACCUGCCCUAAAGUGGGGGAUAACAUUUGGAAACAGAUGCUAAUACCGCAUAAAACCUAACACCGCAUGGUGUAGGGUUGAAAGAUGGUUUCGGCUAUCACUUUAGGAUGGACCCGCGGUGCAUUAGUUAGUUGGUGAGGUAAAGGCUCACCAAGACCGUGAUGCAUAGCCGACCUGAGAGGGUAAUCGGCCACACUGGGACUGAGACACGGCCCAGACUCCUACGGGAGGCAGCAGUAGGGAAUCUUCCACAAUGGACGAAAGUCUGAUGGAGCAACGCCGCGUGAGUGAAGAAGGUUUUCGGAUCGUAAAACUCUGUUGUUGGAGAAGAAUGUAUCUGAUAGUAACUGAUCAGGUAGU